This 1534-nucleotide ribosomal RNA is filed under the name Leucobacter sp. wl10. RNAcentral describes it as "bacterial SSU rRNA". It matches the Rfam family "Bacterial small subunit ribosomal RNA". The record is from RNAcentral. Lineage: Bacteria; Bacillati; Actinomycetota; Actinomycetes; Micrococcales; Microbacteriaceae.
UUUACGGAGAGUUUGAUCCUGGCUCAGGACGAACGCUGGCGGCGUGCUUAACACAUGCAAGUCGAACGCUGAAGCUCCUUGCUUGCAGGGGGUGGAUGAGUGGCGAACGGGUGAGUAACACGUGAGUAACCUGCCCCGAACUCUGGGAUAAGCGCUGGAAACGGUGUCUAAUACUGGAUAUGUCCCAUCAUCGCAUGGUGUGUGGGUGGAAAGAUUUAUCGGUUCGGGAUGGACUCGCGGCCUAUCAGCUGGAUGGUGGGGUAAUGGCUCACCAUGGCGACGACGGGUAGCCGGCCUGAGAGGGUGACCGGCCACACUGGGACUGAGACACGGCCCAGACUCCUACGGGAGGCAGCAGUGGGGAAUAUUGCACAAUGGGCGCAAGCCUGAUGCAGCAACGCCGCGUGAGGGAUGACGGCCUUCGGGUUGUAAACCUCUUUUGUCGGGGAAGAAGCCGUGAGGUGACGGUACCCGGAGAAAAAGCACCGGCUAACUACGUGCCAGCAGCCGCGGUAAUACGUAGGGUGCAAGCGUUGUCCGGAAUUAUUGGGCGUAAAGAGCUCGUAGGCGGCUUGUCGCGUCUGCCGUGAAAUCCUCAGGCUCAACCUGAGGUCUGCGGUGGGUACGGGCAGGCUAGAGUGCGGUAGGGGAGAUUGGAAUUCCUGGUGUAGCGGUGGAAUGCGCAGAUAUCAGGAGGAACACCGAUGGCGAAGGCAGAUCUCUGGGCCGUAACUGACGCUGAGGAGCGAAAGCAUGGGGAGCGAACAGGAUUAGAUACCCUGGUAGUCCAUGCCGUAAACGUUGGGAACUAGAUGUAGGGCCUGUUCCACGGGUUCUGUGUCGUAGCUAACGCAUUAAGUUCCCCGCCUGGGGAGUACGGCCGCAAGGCUAAAACUCAAAGGAAUUGACGGGGGCCCGCACAAGCGGCGGAGCAUGCGGAUUAAUUCGAUGCAACGCGAAGAACCUUACCAAGGCUUGACAUAUAGGAGAACCCCGCAGAGAUGCGGGACUCUUUGGACACUUCUAUACAGGUGGUGCAUGGUUGUCGUCAGCUCGUGUCGUGAGAUGUUCGGUUAAGUCCGGCAACGAGCGCAACCCUCGUCCUAUGUUGCCAGCACGUGAUGGUGGGAACUCAUGGGAUACUGCCGUGGUCAACACGGAGGAAGGUGGGGAUGACGUCAAAUCAUCAUGCCCCUUAUGUCUUGGGCUUCACGCAUGCUACAAUGGCCGGUACAAAGGGCUGCGAUACCGCAAGGUGGAGCGAAUCCCAAAAAGCCGGUCUCAGUUCGGAUUGGGGUCUGCAACUCGACCCCAUGAAGUCGGAGUCGCUAGUAAUCGCAGAUCAGCAACGCUGCGGUGAAUACGUUCCCGGGCCUUGUACACACCGCCCGUCAAGUCAUGAAAGUCGGUAACACCCGAAGCCGGUGGCCUAACCCCUUGUGGGAGGGAGUCGUCGAAGGUGGGACUGGUGAUUAGGACUAAGUCGUAACAAGGUAGCCGUACCGGAAGGUGCGGCUGGAUCACCUCCUUUCUA